GACGUAGGGGGCGAGCGUUGUCCGGAUUUAUUGGGCGUAAAGCGCGCGUAGGCGGCUCGUUAAGUCGGGGGUGAAAACCCGGAGCUCAACUCCGGGCCUGCCUCCGAUACUGGCGGGCUGGAGGCAGGUAGGGGAGAGUGGAAUUCCUGGUGUAGCGGUGAAAUGCGCAGAUAUCAGGAGGAACACCGGUGGCGAAGGCGGCUCUCUGGACCUGUCCUGACGCUCAGGCGCGAAAGCUAGGGGAGCAAACAGG
RNAcentral lists this ribosomal RNA (253 nucleotides) under uncultured bacterium. RNAcentral's name for it is "partial 16S ribosomal RNA". It matches the Rfam family "Bacterial small subunit ribosomal RNA", at positions 524 to 776 of the family's 1533-position model. The record is from RNAcentral. RNAcentral also lists the same sequence under 1 other name.